Molecule: ribosomal RNA, 711 nt
Filed under: Nematoda environmental sample
Lineage: Eukaryota; Metazoa; Nematoda
Description: bacterial SSU rRNA
Rfam family: Eukaryotic small subunit ribosomal RNA
Source: RNAcentral
CUUGCUACUUGGAUAACCGUAGUAAUUCUAGAGCUAAUACAUGCGUCAAACCCCGACUUCUGGGAGGGGUGUAUUUAUUAGAUGGAAACCAAUGCGGGGCAACCCGGUAUAUGGUGAUUCAUAAUAACUUUCGGAUCGAUCUUCGGAUCGAUGCAUCAUUCAAGUUUCUGCCCUAUCAGCUUUGGAUGGUAGGGUAUUGGCCUACCAUGGCUUUAACGGGUAACGGAGAAUAAGGGUUCGACUCCGGAGAGGGAGCCUGAGAAACGGCUACCACAUCCAAGGAAGGCAGCAGGCGCGCAAAUUACCCACUUCCAGAACGGAGAGGUAGUGACGAAAAAUAACGAGACAGUCCUCUUCGAGGUCUGUCAUCGGAAUGGGUACAAUUUAAAUCCUUUAACGAGGAUCUAUUGGAGGGCAAGUCUGGUGCCAGCAGCCGCGGUAAUUCCAGCUCCAAUAGCGUAUAUUAAAGUUGUUGCGGUUAAAACGCUCGUAGUUGGAUCUGCGACCUCGAAGAACGGUCCCCCGAAAGGGUGGUCACUGUCUCUUCUAGUCUAAAUUCAAGUUGUCUUUAGGUGCUCUUUAUUGAGUGCUUAGAGCGACUAGAACGUUUACUUUGAAAAAAUUAGAGUGCUUAAAGCAGACGAAAUAGUCUGAAUAAGGUGCAUGGAAUAAUGGAAUAGGAUCUCGGUUCUAUUUUGUUGGUUUUCGGAG